RNAcentral lists this ribosomal RNA (1250 nucleotides) under Sesame phyllody phytoplasma. RNAcentral describes it as "bacterial SSU rRNA". It matches the Rfam family "Bacterial small subunit ribosomal RNA", at positions 153 to 1399 of the family's 1533-position model. Lineage: Bacteria; Bacillati; Mycoplasmatota; Mollicutes; Acholeplasmatales; Acholeplasmataceae. The record is from RNAcentral.
GAAACAGUUGCUAAGACAGGAUAGGAAAUUAAGAGGCAUCUUUUAAUUUUUAAAAGACCUUUUUCGAAAGGUAUACUUAAAGAGGGGCUUGCGCCACAUUAGUUAGUUGGUAAGGUAAAGGCUUACCAAGACGAUGAUGUGUAGCUGGACUGAGAGGUCGAACAGCCACAUUGGGACUGAGACACGGCCCAAACUCCUACGGGAGGCAGCAGUAAGGAAUUUUUGGCAAUGGAGGAAACUCUGACCGAGCGACGUCGCGUGAACAAUGAAGUACUUCGGUAUGUAAAGUUCUUUUAUUGAAAAAGAAAAAAUAGUGGAAAAACUAUCUUGACAUUAUUCAAUGAAUAAGCCCCGGCUAAUUAUGUGCCAGCAGCCGCGGUAAUACAUAAGGGGCGAGCGUUAUCCGGAAUUAUUGGGCGUAAAGGGUGCGUAGGCGGUUUGAUAAGUCUAUAGUUUAAAUGCAGUGCUUAACGCUGUAGCGCUAUAGAAACUGUCUGACUAGAGUUAGAUAGAGGCAAGCGGAAUUCCAUGUGUAGCGGUAAAAUGCGUAAAUAUAUGGAGGAACGCCAGAGGCGUAGGCGGCUUGCUGGGUCUUAACUGACGCUGAGGCACGAAAGCGUGGGGAGCAAACAGGAUUAGAUACCCUGGUAGUCCACGCCGUAAACGAUGAGUACUAAGUGUCGGGUUUCGGCUCGGUACUGAAGUUAACACAUUAAGUACUCCGCCUGAGUAGUACGUACGCAAGUAUGAAACUUAAAGGAAUUGACGGGACCCCGCACAAGCGGUGGAUCAUGUUGUUUAAUUCGAAGAUACACGAAAAACCUUACCAGGUCUUGACAUAAUUUUGCGACAUUAUAGAAAUAUAAUGAAGGUUAUCAGAAUUACAGGUGGUGCAUGGUUGUCGUCAGCUCGUGUCGUGAGAUGUUAGGUUAAGUCCUAAAACGAGCGCAACCCUUGUCGUUAGUUGCGACCACGUAAUGGUGAGCACUUUAGCGAGACUGCCAAUGAAAAAUUGGAGGAAGGUGAGGAUUACGUCAAAUCAUCAUGCCCCUUAUGAUCUGGGCUACAAACGUGAUACAAUGGCUGUUACAAAGAGUAGCUACAACGUGAGUUUUUAGCCAAUCUCAAAAAAACAGUCUCAGUUCGGAUUGAAGUCUGCAACUCGACUUCAUGAAGUUGGAAUCGCUAGUAAUCGCGAAUCAGCAUGUCGCGGUGAAUACGUUCUCGGGGUUUGUACACACCGCCCGUCA